UACGAACUGUGCAAACGUUAUUCGGAAUCACUGGGCUUAAAGGGUGCGUAGGCGGUUGUUAAGUAGGUGUGAAGCCCCGGCCUCAACCGGGGAAGUUGCGCCCUAAACUAGGCGGACUAGAGUGAGAUAGGGGUGUGCGGAACUUCCGGUGGAGCGGUGAAAUGCGUUGAUAUCGGAAGGAACGCCGGUGGCGAAAGCGGCACACUGGGUCUCAACUGACGCUGAGGCACGAAAGCCAGGGGAGCAAACGGGAUUAGAUACCCGAGUAGU
RNAcentral lists this ribosomal RNA (270 nucleotides) under uncultured bacterium. RNAcentral's name for it is "partial 16S ribosomal RNA". It matches the Rfam family "Bacterial small subunit ribosomal RNA", at positions 524 to 794 of the family's 1533-position model. The record is from RNAcentral.